UGGGGAAUUUUGGACAAUGGGGGAACCCUGAUCCAGCCAUCCCGCGUGUGCGAUGAAGGCCUUCGGGUUGUAAAGCACUUUUGGCAGGAAAGAAACGUCGCGGGUUAAUACCCCGCGAAACUGACGGUACCUGCAGAAUAAGCACCGGCUAACUACGUGCCAGCAGCCGCGGUAAUACGUAGGGUGCAAGCGUUAAUCGGAAUUACUGGGCGUAAAGCGUGCGCAGGCGGUUCGGAAAGAAAGAUGUGAAAUCCCAGAGCUUAACUUUGGAACUGCAUUUUUAACUACCGGGCUAGAGUGUGUCAGAGGGAGGUGGAAUUCCGCGUGUAGCAGUGAAAUGCGUAGAUAUGCGGAGGAACACCGAUGGCGAAGGCAGCCUCCUGGGAUAACACUGACGCUCAUGCACGAAAGCGUGGGGAGCAAACAGGAUUAGAUACCCUGGUAGUCCACGCCCUAAACGAUGUCAACUAGCUGUUGGGGCCUUCGGGCCUUGGUAGCGCAGCUAACGCGUGAAGUUGACCGCCUGGGGAGUACGGUCGCAAGAUU
Molecule: ribosomal RNA, 546 nt
Filed under: uncultured bacterium
Lineage: Bacteria
Description: partial 16S ribosomal RNA
Rfam family: Bacterial small subunit ribosomal RNA
Source: RNAcentral